This 738-nucleotide ribosomal RNA is filed under the name Trametes hirsuta. Its description in RNAcentral is "eukaryotic LSU rRNA". It matches the Rfam family "Eukaryotic large subunit ribosomal RNA", at positions 142 to 869 of the family's 3401-position model. Lineage: Eukaryota; Fungi; Basidiomycota; Agaricomycetes; Polyporales; Polyporaceae. The record is from RNAcentral.
GUUGUAGUCUGGAGAAGCGUUUUCCGCGUUGGACCGUGUACAAGUCUCUUGGAACAGAGCGUCAUAGAGGGUGAGAAUCCCGUCUUUGACACGGACUACCAAUGCUUUGUGAUGCGCUCUCAAAGAGUCGCGUUGUUUGGGAAUGCAGCGCAAAAUGGGAGGUGAAUUCCUUCUAAAGCUAAAUAUUGGCGAGAGACCGAUAGCGAACAAGUACCGUGAGGGAAAGAUGAAAAGCACUUUGGAAAGAGAGUUAAACAGUACGUGAAAUUGCUGAAAGGGAAACGCUUGAAGUCAGUCGCGUCGUCCGGAACUCAGCCUUGCUUCGGCUUGGUGCACUUUCCGGUUGACGGGCCAGCAUCGAUUUUGACCGCUGGAAAAGGGCUGGAGGAAUGUGGCACCUUCGGGUGUGUUAUAGCCUUCAGUCGCAUACAGCGGUUGGGAUCGAGGAACGCAGCACGCCUUAUGGCUGGGGUUCGCCCACAUUCGUGCUUAGGAUGCUGGCAUAAUGGCUUUAAACGACCCGUCUUGAAACACGGACCAAGGAGUCUAACAUGCCUGCGAGUGUUUGGGUGGAAAACCCGAGCGCGUAAUGAAAGUGAAAGUUGAGACCUCUGUCGUGGAGGGCAUCGACGCCCGGACCUGAAGUUUUCUGACGGAUCCGCGGUAGAGCAUGUAUGUUGGGACCCGAAAGAUGGUGAACUAUGCCUGAAUAGGGUGAAGCCAGAGGAAACUCUGGUG